AGUGAACGCUGGCGGUAGGCCUAACACAUGCAAGUCGAACGGCAGCACAGUAAGAGCUUGCUCUUACGGGUGGCGAGUGGCGGACGGGUGAGGAAUACAUCGGAAUCUACUUUUUCGUGGGUGAUAACGUAGGGAAACUUACGCUAAUACCGCAUACGACCUACGGGUGAAAGCAGGGGAUCUUCGGACCUUGCGCGAUUGAAUGAGCCGAUGUCGGAUUAGCUAGUUGGCGGGGUAAAGGCCCACCAAGGCGACGAUCCGUAGCUGGUCUGAGAGGAUGAUCCGCCACACUGGAACUGAGACACGGUCCAGACUCCUACGGGAGGCAGCAGUGGGGAAUAUUGGACAAUGGGCGCAAGCCUGAUCCAGCCAUGCCGCGUGGGUGAAGAAGGCCUUCGGGUUGUAAAGCCCUUUUGUUGGGAAAGAAAAGCAGCAGGUUAAUACCCGGCUGUUCUGACGGUACCCAAAGAAUAAGCACCGGCUAACUUCGUG
RNAcentral lists this ribosomal RNA (492 nucleotides) under uncultured bacterium. RNAcentral's name for it is "partial 16S ribosomal RNA". It matches the Rfam family "Bacterial small subunit ribosomal RNA", at positions 29 to 507 of the family's 1533-position model. The record is from RNAcentral.